ACAAACAGUGCCAUGUGACAAAUCAGGCCAAAGGACAGGCAGCUGAUGUGCUAAGCAAUAGUCCUAAUGUAUAGCUCAUGAGAAAGCCAUUGGCUGAAAUUGGCUUGUCAGUCAUUUGUUAAACAUUUAUUAGCACUGAAGGCUAUGUCUUGGAUGAACACGGCUGAUUCUCACACCAAGGAAGAGUAAUGUGUCCUGAGGCUUGUGUUUAUGGAAUUAUGUUCAUUGAUCUCUUACCAAUGGAAGAAGGCUUAAGGAAUGUAAUUUUGUUGUUAAUAUUUUGCUCAAUGUUGAGAUAAAGGACAACAGUAUUCUAUAGCUGCCCUGUCAGACUGAAUGGACACGUCACAUACGUCAAAUGACAAAAUCAAAUCACCAAGAGAGGAAUUUUUUUCAUUUAUUAAAUGAGAACUUGGACAUGGGAAGAUUCUCCAAGGGGAACUCUCAUCUACCAUGAGAAAAUCAUGAACCUGGCUGCCUUCCAAUUAUGGUCGCAGCCUGUGCUCGGAUGACACGAAAAACAUCUGGAGCGUGAUGCAGCCCCUCGCAUCCCCAUCCGACAAACAGAUGGCUGAGCACGCCUCGGGCAGCGCAGGAAUAUCACCCCACUCGGAGAGUUUUAAUGAUAACUCAGCUAGUUGCUCCAAAACAUCAGAUGUUACACCAAUAUUUUGCACAAAUUGAGUAAUGUGAAAUGUUCUGCCAAGCCUCCUCGGUGCGCUCCUCCUCAGCUGUCAGCCCCAGGACAAUGCUGGCAGUGAGGAGCCCUGUGCUCCCACAGGAGCUCAGCUGGCCUGAGUCUGGACUGAGGCCAAAUGGCUCCUCAAACGCUUUCCAUGGGCUACAGCUGAACAUAUAUUGCUGCUGCAUUCAUGCAAUUCCUUCUAGUGGAAGGAAGGCUUGCAUGAAAGCUGCUGGAGUGCUUGCAGUCCUCUCUGGAAGUGGGUGAGGGAGAGGCCCUCCCUGGAGAGCUCACACCGCAGUGUUUUCAGUGACGAUGAUGAGUUUACACAUAGAUACUGUGCCGCCAGAUUUUGUUUGCUCAAGCGUCAUUAAACUUUGUGGAGUUUAAAUGUAGCCAAGCCACAACUCUGGCUUAUAGUAUCCUCCUUGUUGACCACUGUUGAUGUAGCUGUGGCCUUGUUCUAAUGACCAGAGUGGUGUUCUAGGAGGGCAGCCCCUGUUGGGGUGAUGCACUGCUUCACCCUCACCCUGUGAUUUCUCUCACAUUUCUCCACCACAAAGCAUAGGGGUUGAGGGGCUCUGUUUCUUCCCUGGGUGUUGGUCUUGAUCAAACUGAGCAUAUACUUCAGCGGAGCAUUCAUCCAUAGCCACUUUUCGAGCAGCAGUGAGUGGAACAGAGCAUGGACACAAAAGCUCCACUCCAUUCAUCACUCUGGAUUGGUAACGGCUUUUGCAAUCCAGUUUUGUAAAAUAGGGGCGUUUUUAUAUGGACACCAGUGGUGUUGUGAGAAGGUUGUUGCUGCUGUUGUUGCACAGCAGGAUAUUAGUGGGCCAUGAAGAUGAUGAAAGG
Molecule: non-coding RNA, 1534 nt
Organism: Meleagris gallopavo (turkey)
Lineage: Eukaryota; Metazoa; Chordata; Aves; Galliformes; Phasianidae
Source: RefSeq, a predicted model, not a curated record